This is a long non-coding RNA of Oncorhynchus keta (chum salmon), 518 nucleotides long. RefSeq lists it as uncharacterized. The record is from RefSeq and is a predicted model, not a curated record. The transcript is spliced from 6 exons. Lineage: Eukaryota; Metazoa; Chordata; Actinopteri; Salmoniformes; Salmonidae.
GGUAUUUGAGGUAGAUAUGUACAUGAAGGCAGGGUAAAGUGACUAGACAUCAGGAUAGAUAAUAAUAAGGUAUUUGAGGUAGAUAUGUACAUGAAGGCAGGGUAAAGUGACUAGACAUCAGGAUAGAUAAUAAUAAGGUAUUUGAGGUAGAUAUGUACAUGAAGGCAGGGUAAAGUGACUAGACAUCAGGAUAGAUAAUAAUAAGGUAUUUGAGGUAGAUAUGUACAUGAAGGCAGGGUAAAGUGACUAGGCAUCAGGAUAGAUAAUAAUAAGGUAUUUGAGGUAGAUAUGUACAUGAAGGCAGGGUAAAGUGACUAGACAUCAGGAUAGAUAAUAAUAAGGUAGUUGAGGUAGAUAUGUACAUGAAGGCAGGGUAAAGUGACUAGGCAUCAGGAUAGAUAAUAAUAAGGUAUUUGAGGUAGAUAUGUAGAUGAAGGCAGGGUAAAGUGACUAGUCAUCAGGAUAGAUAAUAAUAAGGUAUUUGAGGUAGAUAUGAACAUGAAGGCAGGGUAAAGUGA